RNAcentral lists this ribosomal RNA (785 nucleotides) under uncultured fungus. Its description in RNAcentral is "SSU rRNA". It matches the Rfam family "Eukaryotic small subunit ribosomal RNA", at positions 564 to 1357 of the family's 1831-position model. Lineage: Eukaryota; Fungi. The record is from RNAcentral.
GUGCCAGCCGCCGCGUAAUUCCACGCUCCAAUAGCGUAUAUUAAAGUUGUUGUGGUUAAAAAGCUCGUAGUUGAACCUUGGGCCUGGCUGGCCGGUCCGCCUCACCGCGUGCACUGGUCCGGCCGGGCCUUUCCCUCUGUGGAACCCCAUACCCUUCACUGGGCGUGGCGGGGAAACAGGACAUUUACUUUGAAAAAAUUAGAGUGCUCCAGGCAGGCCUAUGCUCGAAUACAUUAGCAUGGAAUAAUAAAAUAGGACGCGCGGUUCUAUUUUGUUGGUUUAUAGGACCGCCGUAAUGAUUAAUAGGGACAGUCGGGGGCAUCAGUAUUCAACUGUCAGAGGUGAAAUUCUUGGAUCAGUUGAAGACUAACUACUGCGAAAGCAUUUGCCAAGGAUGUUUUCAUUAAUCAGGAACGAAAGUUAGGGGAUCGAAGACGAUCAGAUACCGUCGUAGUCUUAACCAUAAACUAUGCCGACUAGGGAUCGGACGGUGUUAUUCAUGACCCGUUCGGCACCUUACGAGAAAUCAAAGUGCUUGGGCUCCAGGGGGAGUAUGGUCGCAAGGCUGAAACUUAAAGAAAUUGACGGAAGGGCACCACCAGGGGUGGAGCCUGCGGCUUAAUUUGACUCAACACGGGGAAACUCACCAGGUCCAGACACAAUAAGGAUUGACAGAUUGAGAGCUCUUUCUUGAUUUGUGGGUGGUGGUGCAUGGCCGUUCUUAGUGGUGGGGUGACUCGUCUGCUUAAUUGCGAUAACGAACGAGAACCUUAACCUGCUAAUUA